This 1372-nucleotide long non-coding RNA is filed under the name Homo sapiens (human). Its description in RNAcentral is "androgen receptor regulated long noncoding RNA 1". The record is from RNAcentral. Lineage: Eukaryota; Metazoa; Chordata; Mammalia; Primates; Hominidae.
AGACAUCUAUGUACUAUUUUUUUUUUUUUUUUUUGCAGGUGAGAUUCCAGUGUUUCCUCCAGAAAGGCACAUUAUUCCUCCACCAUGGUCUUCUUUUUCCUGUGUACCUUGACCCUGUAGGAGAUGAGACUUCUAAAGUGAUUCCUUUCCCUCUUUUCUCCUCAUCACCCCUUCCCACUCUCUAAGGUUUUCAGGUGCUGGUUCCAUGGCUCUUCCUGAGCCGAAAAUAAGGAAACUCCAUAGACCUUGUCCACUGGAACUCGUUCCCAUCUACCCUCCACUCUAUCCAGCCCCAUGAGGACAAGGAACAUGAUUGGUUUUGCUCACUGCCGUAUCUUCCGUACCUAGUACGUAACAGGACAUCAAUAAAUAUUAGUUGAAUGGAAGAUUAAAUCAACAAAAUGGGUGAUGGAUCUCUGCAGUAAGUGGAAGAGUUCUUCAUGGCCCCCAAGGUUAUAUCCAUCUAGAACUUCAGCACGUAAUUUCAUCUGGAAAUAGUGCCUUUGCGGAUAUAAGUUAGGUAAAACUGAAGAUGAGAUCAUACUGGAUUAGGAUGGGAUCUAAAUCCAAUGAAAAUGUCUUCAUAAAAAACAGGAAAGAACCCAUAGAAACACAAGGAAGAAGGUCAUGUGAAGAUGGAGGCAGAGAUUGGAGGGAUGCAGCCACCGGCCCAGGAAUGCCAGCAGCCACCCAGAAGCUGGAAGGAAAUGAGGGAUUCUCUCCUAGAACCUUUAGAGAGAACAUGGUCCUGUGAACAGCUUGAUUUUGGACUUGCCCAUAGCUUGUAUACUCUUACUUUGGAUACAAUUUUAUCCAAACUUGGCUAAACAGUUUCUCAGCCUAUGGAAAAUUUAAAAUGGAGAAGAUUCAACUCGAUUCUUACAGAUUCAAAGCAAGAAAAUGAUGGGAACAUAGGAGGAGACCAAGAAAGCCUAUAAAAAGCAAAAAUAUGAAGUGAACAUUGUGGUAGCUUUAAGAUGUUUAGUGUAGCUGCAGGCACCCUAUACACAUGAAAACCCCCAAGGGGAAUCCCCAUAUCACAGUGUAGUGUGAUAUUUGACAUUCGUGAUCAUCUAGAGAUGUACAGAAAAGGUGAAUCUGUGUUCUGUAUAUUCUGCCUAAGGCAAAGAAAUGUUUAGCUCUCUUUAAAAUAGUUCCAUAAUUUUUUCUAAAAAGCUUUGCUUGAAAACUGUAAGCUUCCCAUAUCUGGAGCAUUUCACUUUAAAUAUUUGGAUAAAUAUGUUAUCUUCUUACUUGGACAUUUCAUGUGUUUAGGGAUUGUCUUCUAAAUUCUUCCUAAUUCAUAUAGCUGCUAACACUUCCCGCAGAGCUAAACCAUUACAGAUAUGAAAUAAAGACCUAUUGAUUUGAC